GAUGAAGAACGCAGCGAAAUGCGAUAAGUAAUGUGAAUUGCAGAAUUCAGUGAAUCAUCGAAUCUUUGAACGCACAUUGCGCCCCCCAGUAUUCUGGCGGGCAUGCCUGUUCGAGCGUCAUUUCAACCAUCAAGCCCUGCUUGUGUUGGGGUCCUGCGGCUGCCCGCAGGCCCUGAAAACCAGUGGCGGGCUCGCUAGUCACACCGAGCGCAGUAGCACAUCUCGCUCAGGGCGUGCGCCGGGCUCCAGCCGUUAAAGCACCCACCUUUCGCAAGGUUGACCUCGGAUCAGGUAGGAAUACCCGCUGAACUUAAGCAUAUCAAUAAGCGGAGGA
This 334-nucleotide unclassified non-coding RNA is filed under the name soil metagenome. Its description in RNAcentral is "partial contains 5.8S ribosomal RNA, internal transcribed spacer 2, and large subunit ribosomal RNA". The stretch from base 1 to 120 matches the Rfam family "5.8S ribosomal RNA", at positions 35 to 154 of the family's 154-position model. The record is from RNAcentral.